RNAcentral lists this long non-coding RNA (1283 nucleotides) under Equus caballus (horse). RNAcentral's name for it is "lncRNA (ENSECAG00000052187.1)". Lineage: Eukaryota; Metazoa; Chordata; Mammalia; Perissodactyla; Equidae. The record is from RNAcentral.
AUUCAUCUCUGUUUGCCUGCCUCUCCCUUGGCAAGCGUAGUCCUCUUAAUGGCGUUGUAGAUGGCUCCACGUCCAUCAGGAUGGAAAUUAAUUGGUGGCUAUCCAUCAUUCUGUGGGUUCCUCCCCUGCUAAACACUGGAUGUCAGGAGCUGAUGAACUGGAGAGUCUGAUCCAACAGUAAUUUGGAACUCCAGCCUCCACAGGUCCAGGUGGCCGCAGACUCUGCAUCUCUCACCAGCUCCCGGGUGAUGCUGAUGUUGCUGCUCCUGAGACACCAUGAUGAGCAGCGAGGAUCUCGGCGGUGGACCUGGCCCUGACCAAAAUGACUUGGUGUCCUUGGGCAAGUGACUUUCCUUUGCCGAGGCUUACUCUCUCCUGUCGGUAAAACAAAGCAAAACAAAAAAAUGAAACAUAAGAAGAAAAAAUUUCCUUUCCAGGAGCGAUGGGUUUGCCUCUCAACAUGACACACCUGGUCUACCCUGGCCUGGUCUGGCUGCGGAGCGGCACGCCCCGGCCGUGGAAGCUCAGACAGCAGCUGCACAAGCCUGCUUCCUCCACCAGUUUCUCAGGAGGGGACCCUGCCUCCCAACUGCUUAAGGUUUGUAAGGCUCAUGGUGGGGACCUCUAAGAGGCUGAUGGGGGUGGGGGUAAGGUCUAAUUUUACAGAUAAAACGAAAUGCAACUAAUGCAUUAUUUUCAUCUAAAUUCCCUUCCUUGUGGCUCAUUUUGACACACGGGAAAUAAAUUGCCAUCAACCCCCGCCCCCCAAACCAGCUGCUCCCGGUCAGAGCGAAUGGAUCAUGAUUUAAUGAAGAGAGCCAUCUGUUACAGGGUAAAAAUCCUAAUUAAGCAAUAUAUGAAUCAGAACAGAAUUAGCCAUCAAGUCGUCAGAGUUCUGUAACCGCGGAGAGGAACACGGCGUCGUUGCCACAUGGAAUAGUCUUCCUCUAAGGAAACGCAAGACUGCAAAGGGAACCCCACUCCGUCCCCUGGGAGGAUGCAGCCCCGACAGCAGGGGUCAGAUUCUGGGGCAUUAACUGAAAUGGACAACGGCUUCCUGAGGAACCCUGGUGUCCUGAGUAAUGAACACCCCUGCUGUUUGUCCGGCAUGUCAGUUUGCCAAAUGCUUUCCCACCCAGGAGUACCUUGAACCCUCUGCCACUCACCCCCGUGGAUGGGGCUGAUGAUCACGGCCAUAGGGUCAGUGAAUCACUCAAGAGCCCACAGCCAGAAAGGAGACAAGUCAAGCCCAGAAUGCAGGCCAUUGGCCUCCACAUCCUGCC